Long non-coding RNA from Cyprinus carpio carpio, 631 nucleotides. The record is from Ensembl. NCBI's taxonomy places the organism in Eukaryota, Metazoa, Chordata, Actinopteri, Cypriniformes, Cyprinidae.
CCUUUGUAAUCAUUGACAUUUUCAUAAGUAACUAAUUUAAUUACAAUUUUUCCCCCUAGUAACUGUAACAGAUUACAGUUACAUUUAUUUUGCAAUUAAAUUACGUAAUUUAGUUACAUGUAAACAAUAUGUUAUCAAGUGUCAGGACAAGUUUAUAAUUUUAUGUACGAUGUAAUCGCUGUGUAAUGUGUUUGAUGGGCGCGCGCGUUGAACAGUCGACGCGCAUUUAAACUGGAGUGGAGGGAGUUACCAUUUAAACGGUGCGGCAACACAGCUGACAAGUAGCAAAUCUCUCCGUCUCUCACUGUUGUUUUUACUGCUUUCAGAAAUGGUUCAUUGUCAUGGGAAUAAGUCCGUUAGCAUCACAACCGUGAGCUAACUAUAGAGGCUAACUAUAAGAGGCAUCAAAGAAGCAUUAUGAAAGCUGUAUGGAACGCAGUUUGUCCCGUAUUUAAGGCAUAUGCCGUAUGACCACCUAGACCAUAUGAAUACCAAACUCUAAGGUUCGCCAUGAUAAUGCCAUGAAAAGGCAACUGCUGGACACCUGGGACAGGCCAUCAAUUCCAAGUUGGCGUCAAUUCCCUGUUAGAGUUUAGAGUUGUCUAAUAGAGAGGGUGAAGGAAGAACAUCC